Long non-coding RNA from Bubalus bubalis (water buffalo), 3713 nucleotides. RefSeq lists it as uncharacterized. The transcript is spliced from 4 exons. The record is from RefSeq and is a predicted model, not a curated record. NCBI's taxonomy places the organism in Eukaryota, Metazoa, Chordata, Mammalia, Artiodactyla, Bovidae.
UCCAGAAGGUUCCAGCCCUGAGAUUGCCGGUUUCACCAUUUCUUUGCCAGUCUAAGUUGUUGUUUUUUCCCUUUUGGGUAUUAGAAAAAGGCAAAGUAUCAUAUCCCUGGGUUAGGUUGUAUAUUUUUCACUAAUCAGCAGAAGGUCACGUGACAAUAGGAGCAGAGACUGGGGUGAUGCAGCUGCUAAUCAAGGAUUGAGACCACCACCAGACGCUAAGAGAAGGGCAGGGAAGGAUGUGACCCACAGGCUCACCCUGAUUUCACACUUCUGGCCUCCAGAAUGGGUGCACGGAUGGUUAGAUCACAGGUGCAGCUGGCCCCAUGCCCUGGCACUGGCUUGCAGUCAUCCGCCUCCACUCAGCAUCCCUCUGAACACGUCAGCAACUGCCCUUGAAGUGCCUGCUCCCCAAGGAUUCUGCUAACUGUUGAUUGGACUGAACAGAACCAGGGACACCUGUUCUUCCAGCCUCGGCCACCCUCCAACCUCUUUCCCAGCUACAACCUUUGGCACCAAUCUCUCAGCCAUCCUCGGCCUCCAAGACCAGCUAGCACCACGCUCUGAUCUUAGCUCCUUAUUGCAGAUCAAUGGAGCUCCCGCAUUCCUCAGAAUUACUCCACUGUGGUGGAGGCCACCAUCAGCCACCCCAUCAACAUGCAUCUUCGGGCCUUCCACACCCACGUCUCUCUGGGUGUCUAUUUCCACCAGUGACCACAUGGCUCCGGAGGGCGUGGACCACUUCUUGGGUGAGUUGGAGGAAGAGAAAUAUGAUGCUGCAGAGUGUCUUUUGCAGAUGCACGUGGCUGCCGCCCACACUUCCAGGAUACGCAGGAGCCAUCCCAACAUGAGUGAGGUAUAGAUAAAACCUGGAUGCUCGGCAAGCCAUUAGGGUCCUGGAGAACAACCUGAACUGGGCCCUUUGGGAUCUGCAAGUUCUGAGUUCUGUCUGCACAGACGCCACCUCCGUGACUUUCUGGAGAGCCUCUUCCUGGAUGAGGAGGUGAAAAUCAUCAAGAAGAAGGGCGACCACCUGCCUAACCUCUGCAAGGAUCACCCUCCAGAACAACUGGGAGCCUCUCGGGCAAACUCCUGGUAUCACGGCUUCUGCCUGCAGCCACUAGGCAGCUUUUUAACUGCCCUGGCGCCCUCUCCCACCCUGGCGCCCUCUCCCAAACCACGGGCCAAAUGGAAACAAGAAAGCUUUUCGCAGGGAAAAAAAAUGUCGCUGGAAUGCAACAAAUUCAGGUUUCACUUUUUGAAACUUCCUGGAAUUUUCUUCCCAAAUAUUUUCGACCCACGGAUGGUUGAAUCUGUGUAUGGAGGGCCAACUGUAUGUAAAAUAAAAAUACAUACUGUGUGUAUGCAUAUGUAUAUAGACACGCAUUAUAUGUAAUUUUAUGGGUGAAGGGGGUCAAAGGGUUGAAAAAAUGAUUAAAAUUUUAAAAAGAAACAUGAUAAAACAGCUUGGCCUUUGUGACUCCCAAGUGCCUAAGGGCAGCAAUCAGGCAAACAGGAACCGUUUCUUAAGGAAAAGAAGGAUGACUCAGAGGGUGGAGCCAAGUAGAACCAUUCCCAGGGAGCAGACCUGGGCCCCAGUCAACACUCAUUCCUCAGCUCUGGAGCACGGAGAACUGCACCCGGCAGAAUUUCAGAAUUGUGAUGGGCCUGUGCCUGCGCUGCCUCCGCUUCUGAAUGGAGUACAUAUUGUGGUGCUGCAGUUCCCGUCUCACGUAUAUGCCAGGUACGGGGGGCAGAUGCCUUCUCUCUAGUCCCCAGGCCUUCAGAUCAAGAGGAGCCUGGCCCAAGUGCCUCAUCAACAACUGGUUGAGAAGCCAGACUUCUGCCCUGCCCUUGGGGCUGAAAUCGGGUGAGAAUCUGGGGAUCAGGGGAAGUGGGGGAAAACAUUCACUUUGCACAAGAGGGGGAGCUUGGAGACGGGGUAGGAGAUUGUCUCCAAAGAGGCUAGGCUCCAAAGAUGGCCCCGAAGGAAUCAUGGUGCCUGGCGCGCAUGCCUUUGCGCAGUCCCCGCCAGUGUCGUAUUUGGGCUGGUCCGGGGACCUGCUGUAACCAACAGAGGCACCAGGGUGACGCGCCAGCUCGGGGCUCACAAUUCAAGGGGCCAGGUGGUUUCAGCUUCCGCAGUUUGAGAAGCCCUGAACUACCAUGUGAGAAGUCUGGAAAGACCACGGGAGAGAAAGGGCUCAUGGAGAAGGAGAGGCCCCGAAACGACUUGCAAAGAGAGCUUCAGGCUUCCCUGUCUCACUGUAGCCAAACUUCUGGCCAUCCCCACCAAGCGCCAGGAGACACGAGAGUGCCAUCUUGGAUGCUCCAGUGGAGUCCCCAGUGGCCUACCACGGCACGACAUCAGAUGGAGCAGAAGGGACCCCAGGUGAGCCCAGCCAACCCAAGGCAUCAUGAGAGAGAAUAAAAUGGUAGCAUUCUUAAGCCUCUAUAUCGUGAGGUAACUUGUUAUGCAGCAGUGACUAAAGUCCAAUCUGAAAGUCAAGAACAGGCAAGCCCACUCAAGGUGCCCAUAUAAUCAGCUUCCAGAGGCAGAGAAGCGGGAGAGUGGAUGUGGAAGAGACAGAGAAGGUCAGAGUAAGAUGGAAACAGGGCCAAGGGCUACUCCCGGAGGAACCCCAACAGUUCACGGUAGAGCCUUUGCAGGAGGUCGAGCCUGCAGAGGGGACAGAGAAGGGGCAGCCGGAGAGGCAGAGAACACUAGGUUUGUGCACUGUCGGGGAAGCCAAGAGCAGAAGGUGAUAGGAGGAGGGAACAGUCCAUCAACUCUCACACCGCUCGGAUGUCAGGUGAGAGAGGACGAAAGAUUCGUCAAGACUGCUGGCCCUCAGGAGGGCUAUUUAAAGUUCUCCUUGGGACUUCCCCAGUGGCUCCAUGCUAAAGAAUCCGGCUGCCAAUGCAGGAGACAUGGGUUUGAUCCCUGAUCCGGGGAGAUCUCACAUGCUGUGGGGCAACAAAGCCCGUGCGGGACAACGACUGAGUCUGCGCUCUAGAGCCGGGGAGCCACAGCUGCUGAAGCCCGCGCGCUGAGAGCUCGCGCUCCGCAACCAGAGAAGCCCCCACAGCGAGAGGCCUUUCCCCACAGCUAGAGAGCAGCCCCUGCUCACGGCAACUAGAGAAAGCCCGUGCAGCCCCGAAGACCCAGCACGGCCAACAAUAAAUACAUACAUAAAAUUAUUUGUAAAACGUUCUCCUUGGGCUUAGUCCUCUACUUCUUCCCUUCGUGGGCAGUGGUAAAUGAACGGGUCUGUGAAAGCAGACCUGGCAAAGGGCCUGGGACUGUUCCCCCACAGCGAACAUCCGAACGGCCGGCAAACCCGUGAAGACGCGCUCAGCCCCGUUAGUCAUCAGGGACAUGCAAAUUCAAACCACAAUGAAAUUCCAUUUCACACCCACCCGACUGGCUAUAAAUAAAAAGCCAAACAAUACCAGGAUUUGGCAAGGGUGCUGAACAAACGGAACUCUCAGGCGUUGCUGGCAGGAAUGUAAGUUGGUACGACCAUCUUGGCAUCUUGGUUUGAUAUUAACUGGUGUGGCUGAGGAUGUGCGCGGUGCGUUGGGACAGGUUCCCCAGGAAACAGACUCUGAGGAGGAUUGCAUGCGGGCGCUUUACUGGAAAGUGCUGUCAGCAACACCACCUGCGAGGGAGUAGGAGAGACCUCCAGAGCUGUCCUCAAUUGACAGGGUGGGGG